Molecule: ribosomal RNA, 497 nt
Filed under: uncultured bacterium
Lineage: Bacteria
Description: partial 16S ribosomal RNA
Rfam family: Bacterial small subunit ribosomal RNA
Source: RNAcentral
GAUGAACGCUGGCGGCGUGCCUAAUACAUGCAAGUCGAGCGAACAGACGAGGAGCUUGCUCCUCUGACGUUAGCGGCGGACGGGUGAGUAACACGUGGAUAACCUACCUAUAAGACUGGGAUAACUUCGGGAAACCGGAGCUAAUACCGGAUAAUAUAUUGAACCGCAUGGUUCAAUAGUGAAAGACGGUUUUGCUGUCACUUAUAGAUGGAUCCGCGCCGCAUUAGCUAGUUGGUAAGGUAACGGCUUACCAAGGCAACGAUGCGUAGCCGACCUGAGAGGGUGAUCGGCCACUCUGGAACUGAGACACGGUCCAGACUCCUACGGGAGGCAGCAGUAGGGACUCUUCCGCAAUGAGCGAAAGCUUGACGGAGCAACGCCGCGUGAGUGAUGAAGGUCUUCGGAUCGUAAAACUCUGUUAUUAGGGAAGAACAAAUGUGUAAGUAACUAUGCACGUCUUGACGGUACCUAAUCAGAAAGCCACGGCUAACUACGUG